CGGACGGGUGAGUAACACGUGGAUAACCUACCUAUAAGACUGGGAUAACUUCGGGAAACCGGAGCUAAUACCGGAUAAUAUAUUGAACCGCAUGGUUCAAUAGUGAAAGACGGUUUUGCUGUCACUUAUAGAUGGAUCCGCGCCGCAUUAGCUAGUUGGUAAGGUAGCGGCUUACCAAGGCAACGAUGCGUAGCCGACCUGAGAGGGUGAUCGGCCACACUGGAACUGAGACACGGUCCAGACUCCUCGGGAGGCAGCAGUA
Molecule: ribosomal RNA, 262 nt
Filed under: uncultured Staphylococcus sp.
Lineage: Bacteria; Bacillati; Bacillota; Bacilli; Caryophanales; Staphylococcaceae
Description: partial 16S ribosomal RNA
Rfam family: Bacterial small subunit ribosomal RNA
Source: RNAcentral